Gallus gallus (chicken) is the source of this 635-nucleotide long non-coding RNA. The record is from Ensembl. Lineage: Eukaryota; Metazoa; Chordata; Aves; Galliformes; Phasianidae.
GGCGGACCUGAGCAGUGAUAACCCAUUUGUAUGACCAAAGCUCAAAGCACCUCUGCUCAGAGCACACUUCCAGCACUGCAUUUACAGGAAGGUCUGUCUGGGCAGCAUUUUGGACUGAGAGGAAAACAGGCAGGUUUGUUCAAGGGUAUGAUUUUGGAAAGAGCUGAUCCCAUACUGCUGAAGGUGGUAAUCCUGUCCUCCUCCUGCUCCACUUCUGGGGAUUCCCAUGCGUCAUCAAACCAGCUCCGGCCUGGCAAGGUGAGUCAGCUGGCUAAAUAGCCAGAGACCCAACCCAACUAAAAGCAGAUAGGAAAGAAAAAAGUGUUUUAUGCUGAUUGGGCAGCCAAAGUCAGUCUCCUGGAGUGAGUGAGAGGCAGUGAGGCGCAAGGAAAGGCAGAGGUACCAGGCUGGAUGCCAGCCCAAGACAUGCAGGUCUGUGGGUGAGAUUCCACUCCUGGGAACCAGAGGUGACCAAAGUCCAGGGGAGUUUAGGCACGUGGUGGUGUUGGAUACUCAAUGGUUCUUUGCAAAACAGCCUCGCUUGCAUCAACGAAAUCAGCAGAGAUGUGAGCUGGAGGAUUGUGCGUGCUGAUUUGGAAGAGAAGGCGAGCAUGUUUGGGAACUACAAGUGGGAG